Molecule: ribosomal RNA, 235 nt
Filed under: uncultured Candidatus Saccharibacteria bacterium
Lineage: Bacteria; Candidatus Saccharimonadota
Description: partial 16S ribosomal RNA
Rfam family: Bacterial small subunit ribosomal RNA
Source: RNAcentral
UAAGCGGGUAGUGAAAUCUUGUGGCUCAACCACAAGGCUAGUUACCUGAACUGACAAGCUUGAGUAUGGUAGAGGUCACUGGAAUUCCAAGUGUAGGAGUGAAAUCCGUAGAUAUUUGGAGGAACACCGAUGGCGUAGGCAGGUGACUGGACCAUAACUGACACUAAGGCACGAAAGCGUGGGUAGCAAACGGGAUUAGAUACCCCGGUAGUCCACGCCUAAACGAUGGAUGCUA